Molecule: ribosomal RNA, 528 nt
Filed under: uncultured bacterium
Lineage: Bacteria
Description: bacterial SSU rRNA
Rfam family: Bacterial small subunit ribosomal RNA
Source: RNAcentral
ACAUCCACGGAAUUUAGCAGAGAUGCUUUAGUGGCCUUCGGGAACCGUGAGACAGGUGCUGCAUGGCUGUCGUCAGCUCGUGUUGUGAAAUGUUGGGUUAAGUCCCGCAACGAGCGCAAACCCUUAUCCUUUGUUGCCAGCGGGUUAUGCCGGGAACUCAAAGGAGACUGCCAGUGAUAAACUGGAGGAAGGUGGGGAUGACGUCAAGUCAUCAUGGCCCUUACGAGUAGGGCUACACACGUGCUACAAUGGCGCAUACAAAGAGAAGCGACCUCGCGAGAGCAAGCGGACCUCGUAAAGUGCGUCGUAGUCCGGAUUGGAGUCUGCAACUCGACUCCAUGAAGUCGGAAUCGCUAGUAAUCGUAGAUCAGAAUGCUACGGUGAAUACGUUCCCGGGCCUUGUACACACCGCCCGUCACACCAUGGGAGUGGGUUGCAAAAGAAGUAGGUAGCUUAACCUUCGGGAGGGCGCUUACCACUUUGUGAUUCAUGACUGGGGUGAAGUCGUAACAAGGUAAGCGUAGUGCU